UAGCGGAGCAGCUGAGAACCACACAAACAUCUCUUAAAUCUUUGGUGCAACAAGUUUCUCAAAUGCAUACACAACAGAUGAUGCAAACACUAUGGAUGCAAGAGAUGUGCGGUGGAAUCGUUCCUCAAGUCGGCAUGCCUCCUUUUGCGUCGUCGCCUAUCAUCCAACAGCCGUCACAGCCAAGAGGGUGCUGCCUCAGAAGGGCAAGAGCAGCAGAUGCAGCGGACAGCUCCACAAGGUCCUUUCCCGCCUCCUUCUCAGCUAGAAACACAUAUGUAGUGGAUAGCUACGCGGGGUGCUUUCCCGACUCCUCAGCUAGGCACAUCGAUGUAGAGUAGUGGACUGCUCCACAGAGUGCUUUUUCGUCAUCUUCUCAGCCAGGGACAGCUCACUGGCCGUUCGGACCGACGCAGUGGGGCGUUGGACCGCAAGGGUUUUGUCGGUGUUCGACCUCCAGUCCAACAGCAGCACUGCCACACCCAUCCCUAGAGGAGGUAUGCUACUUUAGUUUGAACAAAUUAGAGCCUAAACUGAUAUUUUCAACUAACUUUGUAACAUAUCUUGUAUUUUGUAGAGUUUAACUUCUCGUCAUGUUACACCUCAUACCCCGAGCGAGACCACUCUCACAUUAGUGGGAGUGGCUACGUGUUACACGACACUUUAACUUCUUUGAUCAUUUGCUUUACUUAUUUCGUUUGCUCGAUUGGACUAGUAAUGAUUAUGUGAUUGUGAACUUGUAUUUGGUUUAAACUUGGAUUAAAGCCAAACGAACAGUCUAUUUGAUUUAAACUUGUAUGAUAUGAUUGUGAACUUGUAGGUUGGCAUGUGUGAAAUUCUGUGAUAAUUGUGCACUAAGAAUCUGUUUUAACCUGAUUUGGAGGCUUCCCAAUUGGGGAGGCAGAAAAAACAAAAAACAUAAAAAAGGUUAAUAAAUUCGUCGAUGAUGGACAAAUUUAUGAACAUCGUGGCUUAAAUUCGUCAGUGGCUAGCGGAUUUAUGCGCACACAUGGCAUCAAACCGGUAGGCUAUGGUGCAGCCACGUAGCGCUUAAACUCGUGAGUGGCCGAUGAAUAUAAUGCAAAUUUGUCGGUUAGCGACGAGUUUACUUGACACGUGUCAUAGAGCCACCACCGGUUGGCGUCGCCACGUGGCAUGUAAGUUCAUCGGCUGAGCCGACAAAUUUAAGAUAAAGUCGUCGAUCUAGUCGACGAUUGACGAAUUUAACUUAAAUUCGUUUGUUCCUGGUCCACGAAUUUUAUUGUUGCACUAAACGUUCUCCUAUUUUUUUCAUUGGGUUUUAAGAGUUUUUUUCACGGCAUAUUAGUAUACACAACUUUUAAUUUUUCUCACAGACUUUUUGAAGUAAGUUUACAUAUGACACAACUGUCCAAGGGAGAGUGUUACAAUUCAAAUCCAAAUCUGCCGAAUCGCUCGAAUGGCCAGUUGUAGUAGUAGUUAAGGAGGAGACUUGGGUAUGAAUCCACCAUCAUCCCACGGCUAUCUUCAGGAAACUUGACCACAAGUUCCUCUCUCCCCUGUAUAAAAUUAUGUAAACCAUGUGAUUAAUAAAAUCAAAGAUUCAUUUUGUCUUCAUUUACACCCUAACAUGGCAGGCCGCCGGAUUCGAUCGCUGGCAGCCCAACAGAUCCAGUCGCCUGUCCACCAGGUGAGGAGCCGGAUCAACAGGGGAGCAGGCCAGAACGACGAAUGAGAGCCAACUGAUAUUUCAACCCGGAUCCACACACGGAUUUGUAACAACAUCCGGAAAGGAUCCUCUGUUUUGAUAGACCUAUACGUACUCCUAUGAUACGCGUGCACAAAAUUUCUUUUAUAAGCCUAUCUCGAGCAGACUCCUAUGAUAGACCUAUAAGUAUCUUCAUUCAUAUUUUAAAUUUUAAAAGCUGCAACAGGGCAUGCGAAGA
Molecule: long non-coding RNA, 1922 nt
Organism: Zea mays
Lineage: Eukaryota; Viridiplantae; Streptophyta; Magnoliopsida; Poales; Poaceae
Exons: 3
Source: RefSeq, a predicted model, not a curated record